UGCGCAGGCGGUUGUGUAAGACAGGUGUGAAAUCCCCGGGCUUAACCUGGGAACUGCGCUUGUGACUGCACGACUAGAGUAUGGCAGGAGGGGGGGUGGAAUUCCACGUGUAGCAGUGAAAUGCGUAGAGAUGUGGAGGAACACCGAUGGCGAAGGCAGCCCCCUGGGCCAAUACUGACGCUCAUGCACGAAAGCGUGGGGAGCAAACA
This 209-nucleotide ribosomal RNA is filed under the name uncultured bacterium. Its description in RNAcentral is "partial 16S ribosomal RNA". It matches the Rfam family "Bacterial small subunit ribosomal RNA", at positions 568 to 774 of the family's 1533-position model. The record is from RNAcentral.